Xenia sp. Carnegie-2017 is the source of this 1303-nucleotide RNA transcript. RefSeq lists it as uncharacterized. The transcript is spliced from 5 exons. The record is from RefSeq and is a predicted model, not a curated record. Lineage: Eukaryota; Metazoa; Cnidaria; Anthozoa; Malacalcyonacea; Xeniidae.
UUUAAGGAGAAAGCGCGCAAAACAAGGCAUGGCGGAUAAUAAAAAUGAUAUUUCGAGAAGGCUGACAGAAGCGAUAGGAAGGGUAAUCAUGCAAACUUUGGGUACAAGAGAGCAGGCAUCAACGGCUGAUGACAUCCCCAGCCAAAACAGUUCUAAUUCUAGUUCUAUUACAGUCCAGCCUGUCCAGCAAAGAAUUCCAGCUCAAACAUAUUUGGAGACAUCAAAUUCAAGUUGUCACCUCAGUGUGACAAGGCAACUGCCUUCACUUUUUGGUGGAGUAACUGGUGGAAAGAAAAGAAAACGAUCUUCUGCAUGCCUUCCUAAAAGAGGAAAAGUUUACACUAAGGAUGUUGUUUGUUUACCACCAACAGAUCAAACCUUCAACAUUCCUAUUCCACGAGGGAAUAAAAGAGCACAUCUUGCAGAAAUGGGCUUGAUAGGGAAAGUUUCCAUUAACUCUGCCUGGGGGGCCGAAGAAGUUGCAAAAGAAAUUUCUAGUGUAUUCUCUAGGGCAUUUAACCUUCAGCCAGGAGAAGUUCUGUCAUAUGAUUAUUUGGGGUAUGUCAUUCAUGAAUAUAAGGUGUUUGCAUUGCUCAUUGUUGUAAUUUUGCUAUUAAGUUAAGUUAUAUGUAACGAAAACAAAACAAUGAAAACAUGUACUUAUUAAAGAUGUGUUUUGAUGUAACAAAGGGGACAAAACAGUUGACUUUCCCACAAAUAUCAAGAUCUUUUGUGUGGAAUGGGCCAGAAGUCAUCUCAAAUUCAUCCCAAGGAUGUCUUUACAUAAUGGCUAAAAUCAAUCCUGUAUCGACUGUUUUCAUCUCAGAUGAUGAUGACUGUGAUGAUCUCAUUGAGGUCGGCCAGCCCUUCUGUUAAUAUCAUUUUCACCUCUUAAAGAAAAGAAGCACAACUUGCAUUUUAUAUGUCCUUUCUAUACCAAGAUAAUUAUCAAUAAACUGACUAUUGAGGAUACUAACUCAUAUGCUGAGAUAUCCAACAUUAAAAUGCACAAAUUUAUGUGCAUAAAGAAAAAAGUAUAUCUCAAAGAAAACAUGAUUUAGAGGAAUACAAUGAUACCUUUCAUGUAAAUCUUGUAUAUUUUCAGUCAUUACUAUCUAAACAAUCAAAUGAAACAUUGACAAGCAUAGCAUCAACCCUAACCUUGAUGGCAAAACAAAUUAUAAAUAUAUACCUUGAGCUGGAAUUCUUUGCUACAGAGAACACAUUGUGUAUAUCACAAUUAUGUUUUGCUCCUUUUAAUCAUGUGAAUUAAAACUUUGAGAAAUAAAAAAAUGUUAACAAA